This 253-nucleotide ribosomal RNA is filed under the name uncultured bacterium. Its description in RNAcentral is "partial 16S ribosomal RNA". It matches the Rfam family "Bacterial small subunit ribosomal RNA", at positions 524 to 776 of the family's 1533-position model. The record is from RNAcentral.
UACGGAGGGUGCGAGCGUUGUUCGGAAUCACUGGGCGUAAAGCGCGUGUAGGCGGCCUGCUAAGUCUGAUGUGAAAGCCCGAGGCUCACCCUCGGAAGCGCAUUGGAAACUGGCAGACUGGAGUCCCGGAGAGGAGGGUGGAAUUCCUGGUGUAGCGGUGAAAUGCGUAGAUAUCAGGAGGAACACCGGUGGCGAAGGCGGCCCUCUGGACGGUGACUGACGCUGAGACGCGAAAGCGUGGGGAGCAAACAGG